Long non-coding RNA from Aricia agestis (brown argus), 100 nucleotides. RefSeq lists it as uncharacterized. The record is from RefSeq and is a predicted model, not a curated record. The transcript has 3 exons. NCBI's taxonomy places the organism in Eukaryota, Metazoa, Arthropoda, Insecta, Lepidoptera, Lycaenidae.
AUUCAAUAAAAGAGCGCUUAAGGGUUGGACUUCAUCUGGCAGCACGGAAUCGCAUUUGUUCCGCCUGUGCUACCACGUGCUGCAGUGUGCUGCCGCAUGC